UGCAAGGCGGACGCAUCCUUCGGGAUGAGUGGCAGACGGGUGAGUAACACGUGGGAACGUGCCCUCCGGUCUGGGAUAACCCUGGGAAACUAGGGCUAAUACCGGAUACGUGCUUUGGCAGAAAGGUUUACUGCCGGAGGAUCGGCCCGCGUCUGAUUAGCUAGUUGGUGGGGUAACGGCCUACCAAGGCGACGAUCAGUAGCUGGUCUGAGAGGAUGAUCAGCCACACUGGGACUGAGACACGGCCCAGACUCCUACGGGAGGCAGCAGUGGGGAAUAUUGGACAAUGGGCGCAAGCCUGAUCCAGCCAUGCCGCGUGAGUGAUGACGGCCUUAGGGUUGUAAAGCUCUUUUCUCCGGGACGAUAAUGACGGUACCGGAGGAAUAAGCCCCGGCUAACUUCGUGCCAGCAGCCGCGGUAAUACGAAGGGGGCUAGCGUUGCUCGGAAUCACUGGGCGUAAAGGGCGCGUAGGCGGCGUUUUAAGUCGGGGGUGAAAGCCUGUGGCUCAACCACAGAAUGGCCUUCGAUACUGGGACGCUUGAGUAUGGUAGAGGUUGGUGGAACUGCGAGUGUAGAGGUGAAAUUCGUAGAUAUUCGCAAGAACACCGGUGGCGAAGGCGGCCAACUGG
This 630-nucleotide ribosomal RNA is filed under the name Methylobacterium sp.RD1. Its description in RNAcentral is "bacterial SSU rRNA". It matches the Rfam family "Bacterial small subunit ribosomal RNA", at positions 56 to 732 of the family's 1533-position model. The record is from RNAcentral. Lineage: Bacteria; Pseudomonadati; Pseudomonadota; Alphaproteobacteria; Hyphomicrobiales; Methylobacteriaceae.